UACGAAGGGGGCUAGCGUUGCUCGGAAUUACUGGGCGUAAAGCGCACGUAGGCGGCUCUUUAAGUCGGAGGUAAAAUCCUGGAGCUCAACUCCAGAACUGCCUUCGAUACUGAAGAGCUCGAGUCCGGGAGAGGUGAGUGGAACUGCGAGUGUAGAGGUGAAAUUCGUAGAUAUUCGCAAGAACACCAGUGGCGAAGGCGGCUCACUGGCCCGGUACUGACGCUGAGGUGCGAAAGCUGGGGGAGCAAACAGG
This 253-nucleotide ribosomal RNA is filed under the name uncultured bacterium. Its description in RNAcentral is "partial 16S ribosomal RNA". It matches the Rfam family "Bacterial small subunit ribosomal RNA", at positions 524 to 776 of the family's 1533-position model. The record is from RNAcentral.